CAGCUGCCUCUGGGAAGAGACAGGGGUGUAGUGUGAUCAGAGGUCAGAACAAGGAUCCCAGAAAAAACUUAAUGCAUGGAGAUGUCUGCUAAGGCAUGGCUAAGUGGCUUGUAGCCAUGUUCCCUUUCAUUUGCCUCCCAUGAUCACAGAUGCAAUUAUGGUUUCUAUACUCUACCACUGGUUUAGAGGUGAGUUUCCCUGGUGAACAAAAAACAAGUUGGGAAAGUUUUUAACCUCAGCUGCUGCCUCAGAGCAUCUGCAGUGGGAUGAGUCAGGCAAGGCAGCUGCAGAAUAAUGAAGGUGUACUUCCCGCUCUCUGGUUGCUUAUUAUUGCUACCUGAACUCCCUUGGCAGUCAGUGGACCCUCUAUUAUCUCCCCGUGAUGCUCCAAUCCACUCAGACCUCCCUCUGGCCAGCUACAAUUCUCUCUUUCCCA
Molecule: long non-coding RNA, 436 nt
Organism: Oxyura jamaicensis (ruddy duck)
Lineage: Eukaryota; Metazoa; Chordata; Aves; Anseriformes; Anatidae
Exons: 3
Source: RefSeq, a predicted model, not a curated record